RNAcentral lists this transfer RNA (73 nucleotides) under Pelodytes ibericus (Iberian parsley frog). RNAcentral describes it as "tRNA-Leu". Lineage: Eukaryota; Metazoa; Chordata; Amphibia; Anura; Pelodytidae. The record is from RNAcentral.
GCUUUUAAAGGAAAAUAGUCUAUCCAUUGGUCUUAGGCGCCAAAAUCUCUUGGUGCAACUCCUAGUAAAAGCU